AGCGAACGCUGGCGGCAUGCCUAACACAUGCAAGUCGAGCGCCCUCAGCAAUGGGGGAGCGGCGGACGGGUGAGUAACGCGUAGGAACGUAUCCUGAGGUGGGGGAUAACCCUGGGAAACUAGGGCUAAUACCGCAUGAUGGCGAGAGCCCAAAGAUUUAUCGCCUUGGGAGCGGCCUGCGUCUGAUUAGCUUGUUGGUGGGGUAACGGCCUACCAAGGCGAUGAUCAGUAGCUGGUCUGAGAGGAUGAUCAGCCACACUGGGACUGAGACACGGCCCAGACUCCUACGGGAGGCAGCAGUGGGGAAUAUUGGACAAUGGGCGAAAGCCUGAUCCAGCAAUGCCGCGUGGAAUGAAGAAGGUCUUCGGAUUGUAAAGUCCUUUCGGCGGGGACGAUGAUGACGGUACCCGCAGAAGAAGCCCCGG
Molecule: ribosomal RNA, 425 nt
Filed under: uncultured bacterium
Lineage: Bacteria
Description: bacterial SSU rRNA
Rfam family: Bacterial small subunit ribosomal RNA
Source: RNAcentral